This 410-nucleotide ribosomal RNA is filed under the name Orthetrum melania. Its description in RNAcentral is "partial 16S ribosomal RNA". The stretch from base 1 to 207 matches the Rfam family "Archaeal large subunit ribosomal RNA", at positions 1889 to 2143 of the family's 2987-position model. Lineage: Eukaryota; Metazoa; Arthropoda; Insecta; Odonata; Libellulidae. The record is from RNAcentral.
CGCCUGUUUAACAAAAACAUGGCCUUUUGAAUUUAAUAUAAGGUCUGACCUGCCCAGUGAUAGUUUUAACGGCCGCAGUAUACUGACCGUGCAAAGGUAGCAUAAUCAUUAGUCUUUUAAUAGAGGGCUGGAAUGAAAGGUUUCACGAGGAACUGACUGUCUCAUUUUAUUUGUUUUAAAAUUUAAUUUUUUAGUUAAAAAGCUAAAAUUUUAUUGGUAGACGAGAAGACCCUAUAGAGCUUUACAUAUAAUUAAAUAAAUAUUUUUAUAUUAAUAUUUUUAUUUAUUUUUGUGUUUUGUUGGGGUGACAAAAAUAUAUAACUAACUUUUUUAUUUACUUUACAUUGAUUUAUGAAUAUUAGAUCCAAUACUAUUGAUUAUUAGACUAAGUUACCUUAGGGAUAACAGCG